This 340-nucleotide ribosomal RNA is filed under the name Cynomops abrasus (Cinnamon dog-faced bat). Its description in RNAcentral is "partial 12S ribosomal RNA". It matches the Rfam family "Bacterial small subunit ribosomal RNA", at positions 536 to 989 of the family's 1533-position model. Lineage: Eukaryota; Metazoa; Chordata; Mammalia; Chiroptera; Molossidae. The record is from RNAcentral.
AACCCAAAUUAAUAGACACCCGGCGUAAAGCGUGUUUAAGAGAAAAAAACCAAAUAAAGAUAAAUAUUAACCAAGCUGUAAAAAGCCCCAGCUAUAAUAAAAUAAAUGACGAAAGUAUCUUUAGAAAAUCUGAACACACGACAGCUAAGACCCAAACUGGGAUUAGAUACCCCACUAUGCUUAGCCAUUAACUUAAAAAGUCUAAUAAACAAGACUACUCGCCAGAGUACUACUAGCAAAAGCUUAAAACUCAAAGGACUUGGCGGUGCUUUAUAUCCAUCUAGAGGAGCCUGUUCUAUAAUCGAUAAACCCCGAUAAACCUCACCAACCCUUGCUAAUU